Molecule: ribosomal RNA, 933 nt
Filed under: Lactiplantibacillus plantarum
Lineage: Bacteria; Bacillati; Bacillota; Bacilli; Lactobacillales; Lactobacillaceae
Description: Lactobacillus plantarum partial 16S ribosomal RNA
Source: RNAcentral
AAACCACAUGCUCCACCGCUUGUGCGGGCCCCCGUCAAUUCCUUUGAGUUUCAGCCUUGCGGCCGUACUCCCCAGGCGGAAUGCUUAAUGCGUUAGCUGCAGCACUGAAGGGCGGAAACCCUCCAACACUUAGCAUUCAUCGUUUACGGUAUGGACUACCAGGGUAUCUAAUCCUGUUUGCUACCCAUACUUUCGAGCCUCAGCGUCAGUUACAGACCAGACAGCCGCCUUCGCCACUGGUGUUCUUCCAUAUAUCUACGCAUUUCACCGCUACACAUGGAGUUCCACUGUCCUCUUCUGCACUCAAGUUUCCCAGUUUCCGAUGCACUUCUUCGGUUGAGCCGAAGGCUUUCACAUCAGACUUAAAAAACCGCCUGCGCUCGCUUUACGCCCAAUAAAUCCGGACAACGCUUGCCACCUACGUAUUACCGCGGCUGCUGGCACGUAGUUAGCCGUGGCUUUCUGGUUAAAUACCGUCAAUACCUGAACAGUUACUCUCAGAUAUGUUCUUCUUUAACAACAGAGUUUUACGAGCCGAAACCCUUCUUCACUCACGCGGCGUUGCUCCAUCAGACUUUCGUCCAUUGUGGAAGAUUCCCUACUGCUGCCUCCCGUAGGAGUUUGGGCCGUGUCUCAGUCCCAAUGUGGCCGAUUACCCUCUCAGGUCGGCUACGUAUCAUUGCCAUGGUGAGCCGUUACCUCACCAUCUAGCUAAUACGCCGCGGGACCAUCCAAAAGUGAUAGCCGAAGCCAUCUUUCAAACUCGGACCAUGCGGUCCAAGUUGUUAUGCGGUAUUAGCAUCUGUUUCCAGGUGUUAUCCCCCGCUUCUGGGCAGGUUUCCCACGUGUUACUCACCAGUUCGCCACUCACUCAAAUGUAACUCAUGAUGCAAGCACCAAUCAUUACCAGAGUUCGUUCGACUUGCAUAAAAA